This 1440-nucleotide unclassified non-coding RNA is filed under the name Dendronephthya gigantea. RNAcentral's name for it is "uncharacterized LOC114544366, transcript variant X1". Lineage: Eukaryota; Metazoa; Cnidaria; Anthozoa; Malacalcyonacea; Nephtheidae. The record is from RNAcentral.
AUCUGUGCCUGGUAUGACUUCGAAAGGUCGAGAGCCAGUAUUUUUCUUCUUCGACAUCGAAGCCGCGAACAGUUCAGUUGGUGCUGACAUAAUUCAAUUUGGGUUACGUGCGAUCCAAGUGUCCAUUUGAUGGCAGAGUUUAGUGCAUUUGUGAAAACAAAGCAGAAAUUAUCAUCAUUCAGUAAUUUAAUCUUUUUUAAUGUUGAAAAAAUUAUCUUUAUGUCGAAAUCUUUGCACAAUUCUUUGCAUACGCUUCAUCUUUCUUUGCCCUUUCCAGCCAUCAAACACCAGAUCCUUUUCCUCUUGUUUUCAAGAGGAUGAUGAAAUGGGUGACCAAUAGGACUUUGGCAGCAAGCAGGAAAAGUAGAAAAAAGGGAAAACAACAGAAAAUGUUUUACCCAGUUUUGCUUGCUCAUGGUGGCAAUCGGUCGGACUUUCCGAUGUUGGUGGACAACAUCUCUCGCCACAAAGCCUCAUCCGGCUAUUUGUACCCGAGACUUCGUGUGGGGGACACAUACCAACUUUGUGUAAAGCUUCAAGAAAACGGUUUGCCAAUAUUUGACAAACAAACGAAAUUAGGAAUGGAAGGUUUGCACAAAUUAUUCUUCCCUGGUGAAGACUUUAAAGAUCGUCACAGUGCUUUGGGAGAUGCCAGGUUGAUGAGGCAAAUUUUCGGGGGGCCGCUUCGCAACCACCUGGAAGAAAUCGAAACAAAGACGUUGUCUUCCUUUGUGGGUUUGCAAAAAAAGAAAAAGAAAAAAAAAGAAAGAAACCAAACCAUUGGCGAAGGUUGGCAUUGAAUUCGAGCAUUAACUCAGUAUUCGCUAUGCAAUUUGACGUAACCGCCUAUUUGGAAAGUUGAUUGAUGAAAAUUGACUUGAUUAUCAAUUACUGCAUCAUGGCAGAGUCGGUCGCAUGCAACUUUAUAAACACUCCCGUAUAUGAAGCAAUAGCUUCCUGGAUAGAAACGGCCUCUCUACCGAUUGUUUUGUUGGGAGCCAAAGGAGUGGGAAAGACAACCACGCUAAUCAUGUUACAUGAAUCAUGCAAAAGACCGAAACAUUAUUUUUACCGUAAUCGGGGGCGUCUUGUCUGUGCAGUGUCCAGAUAUGGACUUGUGGGUUUGCUGAAAAAGUUCCGUAUAAACUACUCCGACCUCAAUACACAAGUGGUGAAUCCGACUGAGGAGGUUGCAUGGUCGUUACUGAGACGGGUAUGUUGUGGAACAAAUGUCUAGUGAUGCUUGAUUGCUGAUGCAGUUGAUUCUAGGUGUAUCAGCAAUGCUGCUUUUAACUAAUAUUCCGUUUGAACUCUUUUAGUCCUACAACGAAAUGAUCUCCGACCCCGCAAACGAGCCUAAGAUAAGAGAGUUUUUGGAGUACGUUGGGUUUGUUCCCCGUUUGGUUGAGUCAUUAAUACAAGAAUGUAGAGUACAAAAAA